This 447-nucleotide ribosomal RNA is filed under the name uncultured bacterium. Its description in RNAcentral is "bacterial SSU rRNA". It matches the Rfam family "Bacterial small subunit ribosomal RNA", at positions 355 to 825 of the family's 1533-position model. The record is from RNAcentral.
UCGGGAAUUUUGGGCAAUGGGCGAAAGCCUGACCCAGCAACGCCGCGUGAAGGAUGAAGUAUUUCGGUAUGUAAACUUCGUAAGAAUAGGAAGAAUAAAUGACGGUACUAUUUGUAAGGUCCGGCUAACUACGUGCCAGCAGCCGCGGUAAUACGUAGGGACCAAGCGUUGUUCGGAUUUACUGGGCGUAAAGGGCGCGUAGGCGGUGUGUCAAGUCAGUUGUGAAAUCUCCGAGCUUAACUCGGAACGGUCAACUGAUACUGUCACACUAGAGUACAGAAGGGGCAAUCGGAAUUCUUGGUGUAGCGGUGAAAUGCGUAGAUAUCAAGAGGAACACCUGAGGCGAAGGCGGGUUGCUGGGCUGAUACUGACGCUGAGGCGCGAAAGCUAGGGUAGCAAACGGGAUUAGAUACCCUAGUAGUCCCUGAGCGGGCUGGCAAGGCGCAU